GAGCCGUUAGCUCAGUUGGCAGAGCAGCGGGCUUUUAACCCGACGGUCUCCGGUUCAAUCCCGGAACGGCUCA
This 73-nucleotide transfer RNA is filed under the name Sandaracinaceae bacterium. RNAcentral describes it as "tRNA-Lys". It matches the Rfam family "tRNA". From Rfam's summary of the family: Transfer RNA (tRNA) molecules are approximately 80 nucleotides in length. Their secondary structure includes four short double-helical elements and three loops (D, anti-codon, and T loops). The record is from RNAcentral. Lineage: Bacteria; Pseudomonadati; Myxococcota; Polyangiales; Sandaracinaceae.